CCUACGGGAGGCAGCAGUGGGGAAUAUUGCGCAAUGGGCGAAAGCCUGACGCAGCGACGCCGCGUGAGGGAUGAAGGUCUUCGGAUCGUAAACCUCUGUCAGCAGGGAAGAACGGUCACUGUGCUAAUCAGCAGUGAAUUGACGGUACCUGCCAAGGAAGCACCGGCUAACUCCGUGCCAGCCGCCGCGGUAAUACGGAGGGUGCGAGCGUUAAUCGGAAUUACUGGGCGUAAAGCGCUCGUAGGCGGUAUGUCAAGUCAAGGGUGAAAUCCCCGCGCUCAACGUGGGAACUGCCUGUGAAACUGGCAAACUGGAGUGUGGGAGAGGAUAGUGGAAUUCCGGGUGUAGGGGUGAAAUCCGUAGAUAUAUGGAGGAACAUCAGUGGCGAAGGCGACUAUCUGGCACAUAACUGACGCUGAGGAGCGAAAGCGUGGGUAGCAAACAGGAUUAGAUACCCCUGUAGUC
Molecule: ribosomal RNA, 465 nt
Filed under: uncultured bacterium
Lineage: Bacteria
Description: partial 16S ribosomal RNA
Rfam family: Bacterial small subunit ribosomal RNA
Source: RNAcentral